This is a ribosomal RNA of Gossypium raimondii (Peruvian cotton), 119 nucleotides long. Lineage: Eukaryota; Viridiplantae; Streptophyta; Magnoliopsida; Malvales; Malvaceae. The record is from Rfam.
GAGAGCGAUCAUACCAGCAAUAAUGCACCGGAUCCUAUUAGAACUCUGCAGUUAAGCGUGCUCUGGAGAGAGUAGUAUUUGGGUGGGUGACCUCUUGGGAAGUCCUCGUCUUGCACCCC